AAUGCAGCCGACCUCUUCACAAAAUCACUCCCUACCUCGGUAUUCAGAAAACACAUCCAUAACAUUGGGAUGCGCCAUCAGAAGGAUCUAUGACUGUUCGUUCGAGGGGGAGCUUACGUAGUUGUACUCUUUUUACCUUACUAUGGUUUUUCCCAUUGGGUUUUCCUGGAAAGGUUUUUAACGAGGCAACAAAGACGUUAAGCGGGGGCGGAUAGUGUCACCGGCCCCCAAGGGGGAGUGUUAUGAAAGUCAGAGAACACAGCGCCGCAUAAGUUGAAAUUAUAAAUGAUGUGGGGCCCGCUGCACUAUUUGCACAGUAG
Molecule: long non-coding RNA, 320 nt
Filed under: Brassica napus (rape)
Lineage: Eukaryota; Viridiplantae; Streptophyta; Magnoliopsida; Brassicales; Brassicaceae
Description: long non-coding RNA (BNAP_LNC016674)
Source: RNAcentral